AUGCGCUCCAAUCCCGCCACGCCUGCGAAUCCCAGCGGGAGCAGAAAGCGGGGGCACUACAAUUCCGCCAACAAGUCCCGCCGGAAGGGCGACACGGCCUAUAGGUGCUCGCCGCACCUCAUCCCACCGAUUAUGAAGCUUCUCAGCGAUAGGCAGAGAGGCUUUGUCAGAAAGAUUGGGUUUGGAAGCCUGCUGUCCAUGGAAGAUUUUGAGAUGGACAGGGCCCUUACCCUGUGGCUGAUCGACAGGUUCAGCUGCGACACCGAGGCGCUCGAGUUCCAAGGCGGCGUGUCGGUUCCGGUGAGGCCGCUCGUGGAGUCCGUCCUCGGGAUCCCUGCGGGCCCCAUCCAGGUCGUGGCGGGCCUCCACGUCGGCGACGCUUUCCGCACUCGGUACCGCUGUCUUAAAGGGAAGAACGCCGAGAAACUGGCCGAGGAAAUGCGCGGCAUGACCGAGGAGGAACCCUUCUGUAUGGCCUUCAUGAUGGUGAUCCUUGCGAUUUAUCUAGCACCCAACACAACCAAGCUUGUCAACAGGUACUUGUUUGGGGCCGCUCAGCAGGUCGGCAGCCUCAGACAGAUGGACUGGUGCGGUUUCGUUGCUGACUAUCUCUUCAGAGGGAUCAGGAAGUUCAAGGAAUCGGAAGCACCCUUUGUUUUUGUAAAGGGCUGUGUGCACAUCCUGAACGUCAUUUACGUUGAUCUUGUGAAACACGCUGCAUUCGAAGUACCAAACGGCUUUCCACGCUUGGGCGUUGUCACUACAGAGCAUAACAAAUGGGUAGCUUCACAUCCCUUUGGUAGCUUGCUGGUGCGUCGUCUAGAAGAGUCUGUCUAUGCUCCCGUGCUCAAUAACAUGGGAAAUGGUAGCAUUGUUAAAGGCGGAACAUGUGCUGAUUCUGAUACAAAUACUGAUGCUCUGGCCAAUCAGUUUGCUAUCACUGUCACCCAUCAAAAUAACCCGCAACCGAUUGCAGCCUACCCUGGCACUGCCAGAACAACCCCUGAUAUAACGAGCUUGGCCAGUGUUGAACAUGUAGCGUUAGAGACAUCAGCUCGAUCUGCAGUGUAUUCAUUUAACACUCACAGAGUUGAGGGGUCCGUUUUCUUGGAAGAAUGCGUAGUUUUUCCAAGAAGCCGCGAGCAAUUGCAGUCUGCUGGGCCUUCUUCACCGUAUUCUGCACAAAUUGUGGAGAAGAUGCAGCUUGCGCCAGAAGCCACUUUGGGAAGGAACAGGGGUUCGCCGAAGGACGAUCGGACACCCGAGAGGGCGAGGGUGGAGCUGCCCAACAGUGGGCAAGUAAAGCAAGCCGGAGAAGGCACCAUAAGGAUGGACAUGAGUUUGCUUAGUUGUCGCGUCUGCUACCACCCCGUCAAGCCCCCUGUCUUCCAGUGCAAUGUCGGGCAUUUAGCUUGCGGCACAUGCCUCGCGGAGCUCCCCGGCGAACAGUGCCCGAUCUGCGAGCACGGCGGUGGCUUUAGCCGCUGUCCAGUGAUGGACGACGUCGUCUUGUCGAGCGAGAUGAAGUGCUCCUACGACGGCUGCCAGAGCUACGUCCCCUAUCACGAGCUUGACGGCCACCAGAGAGUGUGCCCGCACGCGCCCUGCUUCUGCACGGAGCCCGGUUGCGGCUUCUGCGGCCCUCCAGUGGCGCUCCUUGGCCACCUCACUGCGGUGCACUCAGUGCCAGUGCAGAAGGUCCAGUACGGCAAUGUUCACCGGCUCCGGUUGUCGGAGGCACGGUGCCUGCUCCAUGUGGAAGAGGACGACAGUGUGUUCCUCCUGGCUGUGGGGGCCGUGGGCGCGCUCGACAUGGCCACCGUCGUGUCUGCGGUGUGCAUCUGUGCGGGAGCAUCACUAGAGCCGCGACACGCGGUCAAGCUCCGGGCGAAUGGUCCGCCGCCACCGAGCAGCGCAGCGGGCAGCAUUUUGUUGGACUUGAAGGCGGUGACGAACAGCAACAGGCCCGGCGAGGUGGCCGUGGAGGAGCUGCCGUCUUUCUUGAUGGUGCCGCCUACAUAUCUGGUUGGAUCUGAGGCGUCCGAGGUGUCCCUCGACGUUCGCAUUGACAGGGUGUGA
RNAcentral lists this ribosomal RNA (2079 nucleotides) under Triticum aestivum (bread wheat). RNAcentral describes it as "partial small subunit ribosomal RNA". The record is from RNAcentral. Lineage: Eukaryota; Viridiplantae; Streptophyta; Magnoliopsida; Poales; Poaceae.